This is a long non-coding RNA of Pan troglodytes (chimpanzee), 233 nucleotides long. RefSeq lists it as uncharacterized. Lineage: Eukaryota; Metazoa; Chordata; Mammalia; Primates; Hominidae. The record is from RefSeq and is a predicted model, not a curated record. The transcript has 3 exons.
GAACUGAAUUCAAAUCAAUUAACGCAUAACUGAUUGGCAACAAAUUGAAAAAGAUACCAGUUUCACAACCUGAUUUUAAAAGACAAGGUUACCCAGGAAUGAAAUUGAUUCUAGCUUUGGUUUCUGAAAAGGGCUUCAGGAACACUGUCAUAGCAUCACUGAUUUAUGGAAGAGGAAACUGAGGCUCAGAGAGGUUGAGAACUUCCUUCAAGGAGAAGCAGAACUGGACCUAA